CCGAGCUUCUUUCGACCUUUGCAUCAUUUGGAGGUACCCGAUUGCCAUCGCAUCAACCCAUCCUUUCAUCCAUGGCCGUAGAUUUGCCUGGGGCCGCUCAGGUUUGGCGCCCCCCAUCGGGGCUCGAGCUUGGAGGUCUGAGCUUCUCGUCACCCAGAGGAAGUCAUCUUAUCUCGGACUUGCAUUGAGAGAAAGCUGGGGUUCAUGAUAAGAACCCCAAUCCCUGCUGAGAUGAGGUUCUCUACAUCUUUGAUGCUGUUUGUUUUUCAUUCGUCGCUGACGUAGUCCAUCGCUUUCCUUUUUAACUCCUCUCCCCUUU
Molecule: long non-coding RNA, 319 nt
Filed under: Elaeis guineensis (African oil palm)
Lineage: Eukaryota; Viridiplantae; Streptophyta; Magnoliopsida; Arecales; Arecaceae
Description: long non-coding RNA (EGUI_LNC037237)
Source: RNAcentral